Solenopsis invicta (red fire ant) is the source of this 194-nucleotide non-coding RNA. The record is from Rfam. NCBI's taxonomy places the organism in Eukaryota, Metazoa, Arthropoda, Insecta, Hymenoptera, Formicidae.
AUCGCUUCUCGGCUCUCUGAGCUAAGAUCAAAUGUGUAGUAUCUGUUCUUAUCAGCUUAAUAUCUGAUACAAUCCCCACAGGGGAUUCAGAAUAUUAAACUGAUUUUUGGAAUAAAGUGGACGUAUGGAGCUUGCUCCGUCUCCGCUACUGGUCGUCCCGAUCUUGCAGUAAAGUCGGGAUUGGCCUCGUAAAU